AACUUGGCAGAGAUGCCUUGGUGCCUUCGGGAACGCUGAGACAGGUGCUGCAUGGCUGUCGUCAGCUCGUGUUGUGAAAUGUUGGGUUAAGUCCCGCAACGAGCGCAACCCUUAUCCUUUGUUGCCAGCGAUUCGGUCGGGAACUCAAAGGAGACUGCCGGUGAUAAACCGGAGGAAGGUGGGGAUGACGUCAAGUCAUCAUGGCCCUUACGAGUAGGGCUACACACGUGCUACAAUGGCGCAUACAAAGAGAAGCGACCUCGCGAGAGCAAGCGGACCUCAUAAAGUGCGUCGUAGUCCGGAUCGGAGUCUGCAACUCGACUCCGUGAAGUCGGAAUCGCUAGUAAUCGUGGAUCAGAAUGCCACGGUGAAUACGUUCCCGGGCCUUGUACACACCGCCCGUCACACCAUGGGAGUGGGUUGCAAAAGAAGUAGGUAGCUUAACCCUCGGGAGGGCGCUUACCACUUUGUGAUUCAUGACUGGGGUGAAGUCGUAACAAGGUAAGCGUAGCGAG
This 515-nucleotide ribosomal RNA is filed under the name uncultured bacterium. RNAcentral describes it as "bacterial SSU rRNA". It matches the Rfam family "Bacterial small subunit ribosomal RNA", at positions 994 to 1509 of the family's 1533-position model. The record is from RNAcentral.